UACGGUAGGGUGCGAGCGUUUGUCCGGAAUUAUUGGGCGUAAAGAGCUCGUAGGCGGUGUGUCGCGUCGGUCGUGAAAACUUGGGGCUUAACUCUGAGCUUGCGGUCGAUACGGGCAUCACUGGAGUUCGGCAGGGGAGACUGGAAUUCCUGGUGUAGCGGUGAAAUGCGCAGAUAUCAGGAGGAACACCGGUGGGCGAAGGCG
Molecule: ribosomal RNA, 204 nt
Filed under: uncultured bacterium
Lineage: Bacteria
Description: partial 16S ribosomal RNA
Rfam family: Bacterial small subunit ribosomal RNA
Source: RNAcentral